UAAAUUGAAGCAAAAAAAAAUGCAAUUAGUUUCGACCUGAUAUUUAAUGAUAAAAUUCAUUCUAUUUAA
Non-coding RNA from Clunio marinus, 69 nucleotides. The record is from the annotation of a GenBank genome assembly. NCBI's taxonomy places the organism in Eukaryota, Metazoa, Arthropoda, Insecta, Diptera, Chironomidae.